CUUGAGAAGUAUCUUCUACUGUGUAAGGUUUUGCUAACAUAAUGUUACUGUUACUUAACUUUUAGCUUUUAAAAAGUGCUAGUUCAGCUUAAUAGAAAUAUGAUGUUACAAAGAUUUGUAGAGCACCGCCCCAAGUAUUGCUUUUUGUUAACCAUAUAGUCUUGCUUUGUUGUAAGAAGUAUAAAAGAUCGCCUCACCCUUGAGGGGGGGCCAUUUUGCCUUUUGCUGGCUUUAUGGUCUUUGCUCGAGCAAAUAAACAGCUGUCUUUCUUUACCCGCGUUGUCUGUCAAUCAAAUUACAGCUAGACAACGGACCUUAGGGAGGUUUCUCCCACCACACCUGACACUUUAAGGUCCAGGAUGCAGACCCAUGUUCUUUCCUGCCCAGAGCAGGGGGGCUGGACCCAGUGAUCUCACAAGGUCCCUUAAACGUUUGUGAAUCUGUGUGCACGAAUCCCCACACUUGAAGAAGCAUUUGGAUUCAGAGUGCUGCUGCAAUUAACUCUGACAAAGUAUAGGAAGUAUGAGUUGGAGGUAAUGAUUAAACAACAUAAGAGAAGUUUGGAAGGUCUGUCUGAGUAGAGAGCUCUUCUAUGGAUACUUAGGGGUUCACUAGAGGUGUCUAUUCUGUUUUCCUGAUCACCGAACCAGAAAAACCAACAGCAUGAUGAGAAGUGUAGCGAACUAUGGAUGACAGCUGAACAUGGACUCCAACCAUACAGAUUACAAAGAAACGGUGUGGUAGAUCUUCAACCUGGUCAGAGAUGCACGGGUGUCUGGCCAACUAUCCAGGAUCCAGCAUCUUGGCCUCCAUGACUGGACCUCCUGUGCACAAAUGUGGAGUCUGCAGACAACUAAGGGACCUAUGCUGAAUCCCCCAUCUGGACCUUUUCCCCUACCCAGCAUUUUAUACCAACACCAAAUGCGUCUGCCAUUGGGCACGACCUUGACAGAGAAGCGUGGGUCAAGCUGAACAGACUGAGAUUUGGAUACAGACACUUCAAAAUAACACCGUACAAGAUGAACAUUUCAGACAGCUCCCUGUGUGAAUGUGGUGUCCAACAACCAGGACAGAACUUAAUGGAAAGCUAUAAUCUUUACAAAUGCUCAUAUGGGGUAAAUUAAAUUGGUACAUUGAGCAAUAAUACCAGACAGUAGCUCAUAGCUGGGCAGAGGGAACAAGGGGCAGGGGGUUGGAAACAGGGGCUUCACUGACUUGAGUCCCUGAGUGCCAGGCUGGCACUUGGGCAGACUAGACCACCACCCUAUGAUGGGAGGUGAGUGGGGUGCUGCAGUGCUCCAUGGGAUAUGAUCUACCAUGUGUCGGUGGAAUGUGAUCUACCAUGAGCCAGGAUUGGAUCUGGUAGAGAUAUUCAUUAUGGUGCUCUAACCUACAGCGCUCAAGACUGAUACCACAUUCAUCCAGGGUUGUCCUAGAGUGAGAUCCGCCAUUUUUAUAGUGCUCUAUGUGCCCUGGCCGUCUGUUCGGUUAUAGCUAUAGAAGGAUUUCUGUGUGCCUGCCACGCAACAGGGGUAACUUCUGUACCUGCCCUAAGGUGCCAUUCUGCCUCAUCUUCUCACGGAUGUAACUUGGUUGUAAAUACUCUCUGUGAUACUACAGUGACAAUAAAGGUGUCAUUUCCUAGCAACAACAUAACAUGGCCUUCCAUGUUAAUGAUAUAAAGAUUUUAAUUCCUAAGUGAAAUUAUCAUAUUGUUAUCUGACUGGAUUAAAAACAUAUAUUGGAAAUAA
This is a long non-coding RNA of Alligator mississippiensis (American alligator), 1751 nucleotides long. RefSeq lists it as uncharacterized. The record is from RefSeq and is a predicted model, not a curated record. The transcript is spliced from 7 exons. NCBI's taxonomy places the organism in Eukaryota, Metazoa, Chordata, Crocodylia, Alligatoridae.